UGGGGAAUCGUCUAAUGGUAGGACACCGGACUUUGACUCCGUUUGUCUAGGUUCGAAUCCUAGUUCCCCAA
RNAcentral lists this transfer RNA (71 nucleotides) under Candidatus Peribacteria bacterium. Its description in RNAcentral is "tRNA-Gln". It matches the Rfam family "tRNA". From Rfam's summary of the family: Transfer RNA (tRNA) molecules are approximately 80 nucleotides in length. Their secondary structure includes four short double-helical elements and three loops (D, anti-codon, and T loops). The record is from RNAcentral. Lineage: Bacteria; Candidatus Peregrinibacteriota; Candidatus Peribacteria.